This 464-nucleotide ribosomal RNA is filed under the name Vreelandella stevensii. RNAcentral describes it as "partial 16S ribosomal RNA". It matches the Rfam family "Bacterial small subunit ribosomal RNA", at positions 338 to 794 of the family's 1533-position model. Lineage: Bacteria; Pseudomonadati; Pseudomonadota; Gammaproteobacteria; Oceanospirillales; Halomonadaceae. The record is from RNAcentral.
CCUACGUGAGGCAGCAGUGGGGAAUAUUGGACAAUGGGCGAAAGCCUGAUCCAGCCAUGCCGCGUGUGUGAAGAAGGCCUUCGGGUUGUAAAGCACUUUCAGUGGGGAAGAAAGCCUUGGGGCUAAUACCCUCGAGGAAGGACAUCACCCACAGAAGAAGCACCGGCUAACUCCGUGCCAGCAGCCGCGGUAAUACGGAGGGUGCGAGCGUUAAUCGGAAUUACUGGGCGUAAAGCGCGCGUAGGCGGUCUGAUAAGCCGGUUGUGAAAGCCCCGGGCUCAACCUGGGAACGGCAUCCGGAACUGUCAGGCUAGAGUGCAGGAGAGGAAGGUAGAAUUCCCGGUGUAGCGGUGAAAUGCGUAGAGAUCGGGAGGAAUACCAGUGGCGAAGGCGGCCUUCUGGACUGACACUGACGCUGAGGUGCGAAAGCGUGGGUAGCAAACAGGAUUAGAUACCCGAGUAGU